CAGCCGCCGCGGUAAUACGAAGGGUGCAAGCGUUACUCGGAAUUACUGGGCGUAAAGCGUGUGUAGGUGGUUGUUUAAGUCUGUCGUGAAAGCCCUGGGCUCAACCUGGGAAUUGCGAUGGAUACUGGGCGACUAGAGUGCGGUAGAGGAUAGUGGAAUUUCCGGUGUAGCAGUGAAAUGCGUAGAGAUCGGAAGGAACAUCUGUGGCGAAGGCGACUAUCUGGGCCAACACCGACACUGAGACACGAAAGCGUGGGGAGCAAACAGGAUUAGAUACCCCAGUAGUCCCUGUCUCUUAUAC
This 301-nucleotide ribosomal RNA is filed under the name uncultured bacterium. RNAcentral's name for it is "partial 16S ribosomal RNA". It matches the Rfam family "Bacterial small subunit ribosomal RNA", at positions 509 to 807 of the family's 1533-position model. The record is from RNAcentral.